Osmia bicornis bicornis is the source of this 3320-nucleotide long non-coding RNA. RefSeq lists it as uncharacterized. The transcript is spliced from 5 exons. The record is from RefSeq and is a predicted model, not a curated record. NCBI's taxonomy places the organism in Eukaryota, Metazoa, Arthropoda, Insecta, Hymenoptera, Megachilidae.
GCGAGCAUCGUCACGUUCGUUAAAUCGGUUAUCAUACGGUAGGUGUUCGCGAUUGGAAUUUCGUUUUAUUUGUACGCGUUGUACAAACACACACGCGCGUGUGUGUAUGUGUGUGUCAGUUGUGCGUGUCACGAUCGUGCAUCAGCAGAUGACACUUACCGCCCUGGUCACGCACAAACUAUAUUCGUCUCACCGUCACAGGGGCACACACGGACCUGAAGUGACCGGCGGUCAGUUUGAUGGUGUAACGAGGCUCGUGAUGUGACAACACACAGCCAACGAACGAACCGUGGCAGCAGGAGUCGACCGAGGGUGAAGACACUUCAGGGUCAGACAUCUGCGCAUCGAUAUGAGGACCUCGUAUACAGCUCGCAACGGCUCAUACUUAUGUUACGCUUAACUGGCAGCACGGCUUAGCUACCGCUUCUUGGCACUCAGUGUGAAGGAGAGGCAGUCUGAAAGUUCCAGCCCUUGACAGCUUCCGAGCUUCAGCGAGAUUUCAGCCAGGGUGGAGAUCAUCAAUGGAUCACAAUGCAGUAUUGUCCCGGUGAUUCGCCGCCUACGUUAGUCAACACGAGUCGAUGACUAACGAUAAGAGGACAACAACGUCUUGUGGACUAUUAUCCAAAGGGUAUUGCAGAAGAGGAAGCACAGCAGACUUGGUUGCACGAGGCUCGGAGCAAUGGCGAGGCCCCAUCAGACAGAAGCUACCGCGAUAACAGGUAAUCCGCGAUUAGCAACGCGUCGAUUGCCCUGUAUCGUCGAUCGUCGGCCUCGAUCCCGGCGAUAUUUCAAGCCGAUCGGUACCCGCGGACGGUGAAACUCGAUCUCGUGGAUCGAGCUCAUGGAUCCCCCAUCGGGAAAGCCUCUUUGAGAAGCCGGCAGCGCUGGUGGACUCGCUCUCCUCCCGCUCCGCUCCUCUUGAGUGAUAUAAAACCGGCAUUCGCGAAUAAAUACUCCAUUGCAGGAGCACGGGGGCCCUAAAUAUUCAUGGGUUUAGAUCUCGCUCUCCUUAGAUUCUCCUCCAUCCUCAUUCAGCUUCCUCUCCGCUUGAACCUCGACUGUGGCCGUGGCGGGGAACGUCACGUUUGUUACGACCGCCAACAGGACUUUACCAUUCGAGAUCCCUUCGGUCUUUGUAUCAUUCUGAUCCGAUCGAUACGUUACGGAAAAGACGCGUUUUCCUCUUACUUCUCUUUCAGAUUCGUUUCAUCGCUUUAUUCGAGUGAUUCAUUGAUCGUGGAUCGCUUCUUUCACUUGGAAAUUGUAGCGGAUAUGGAAUAAUCGAUGGACGUAUCGACUGGAAAGAGUGAAAGCAUCUUCCCUUUUUUGGGGGGGUGAAACUCACCUGUUUAGAUUCAACGCGCGUGCUGUACAAUUUUCAGAAAUUAUACUUUUAAUAUUAUUUAAGAGUAUGAUUUCUAAUCCGCGAACGAGGUCUAUAAUAGCACGUAAUCAUGAGAAAAUUCAUGACACUCGAACAGAAAGUAACUUCUCUAUAAUGAUAACAUGUUAAAUUCCAAGGAAUGCAUGCAUUAUACGAGUCAGAGAAAUAUAAUAGACUGGAAGAGCAUGUUUCAAGGAGCAGCUUACCGUUGCUUCGAGGUGUAAGACAAGGCAUAAAAACAUAGUCAUCCGACGACGUUGCAAUCAUCGUCGCCGUUGGCGCAAUUAUUGGAAAAGUCAAGUCGAUCGAGGCGCUAGGGUAACACGAGCACAAUCAUCAUCGUUCUCGAACCGAUCGCUGAAUAGACGUCCGUCCGUGGCUUUCAGCUGCGAAUUACCAUCGAAACGUUCACCGUCCUCGAGUACCAGUAACGAUCGCUCGUUGGAAAAUGAUUCGACGAAGGAGAUAGAAAAAAAAUGUAGACGGAGGAGAACGAAAUAGGGGAAAAAGAAGGAAAUAAUAUCGUACCGCGUCCUCGUUGGCAGCCUUUCACUAGUGACUGCAGAUCCAACAAGACUGGACAUGCCUUUGUUUUCAAGGGGUCUUGAAUUUGUUAAUUAAAAAUUCACAAUUACAAAUAACAAAUUAAUUGAAAUAGAACUAUCUGCUUUAUCCUAGUAUAAAAAAUAGUAAACUGCAUCGAUAUCAACGACCCUACCCCAUCGCUCAGUCACUGCCACAUCUCAGCAACAAGGGCAUCUCCAGUCUUAUUGGAUCUGUAGCCGCUGCAACCCUUAAAGAUGUUACAUCCAAGGACUACCACCCCCAACACGGACAGAGCGAAGAAAAGCAGCAAGGGGUGAGUGAUCUAAUCCUCCCCUCAAUACUAGAUAUAACGCCAGCUAAUUCCACGUCAUUUCGUUGAUGGACGAGACUCCUCUUGAUCUUUCGCACGCAAACGUCUCCUCGAUCUAUCGCGCGACGUCGAUCUUCGAAUCGCACUCGUAAAUUCGGCCCUCGAUAAAUGGAACCCUCGUUGGCAGAAUAAACGCGUCGUAUUCACACGUCGUCGCGUGGCACGCGAGUUUCACGCGACAUGGCUUUUGUCUGAAUACUUAGAAAAUUUUUACCGAUUUUUCAUGUUAUCAUUUUUUAUAUUAAUCCGAUCUCGAGGUCUUUAAGAGCCUUCUAUACAAAUUAUCAAUUUCCGAUCUUCAACAAUUACCCAGCUAGAUAAAAGACCUAUACAGCAACCUCAGCGCUCGGCUAAUUAAUUCGAUGAAACCGUCUCGUCGGCUAAUUGAACGGCUCACAAUGGCGAUGGACUAUCGCACGAAACAAUUUGCCGUCGCGACGUCGUUUGACGUCUGCUCGUCUCGAUUUCGAGCACGAUCUCGCUAAUAAAUUAACCGACAGGUCGCCAGGGGCCAGCAACGACGCUAGUUUCUAAUUAAGUUUGCCGUAGCUAGAAUCACAUGUUCUCUCUCUCUAUCUAUCUUUCGAAGCGGUUGCUUCUCUUUCUUUCUACGCUUCUCGUCACCUUUCGCGCGCGUUAAUCUCCUUCGAUCCCGCCUCGCCUCGUGGAUCAUGCGUGAAGCCGAAGCUCGACGACUUCGCCGGUGGAUCAUCGAUCUUUACGGCCCCCGGCGCCAUUUUUACCCCGUGCAAUUGAGUUGCGUUUAUGACGGAUCGACGCGCCGUAUCCGUCGACAAUAUUUCGCAUGCCCUGUUGAGGAUCAACGCUUCAAUCUUUCACCUCUUGAAUUAUGUUCUUCUCUAAGUAUUUUGCAAUUUAUUUAUAACUCUAUAACAUUAAAUAAACCAUUACUUCACAUAAUUUAUUGUAUAUCACACAUUCAUACAGUUCAUUGUAUAUCAUGUACCACAAAAGGGUUCAUCCCUCAUGAUUUAAAUAAAUAAAUAAAUUACUAAA